GUGGGGAAUAUUGGGCAAUGGGGGCAACCCUGACCCAGCGACGCCGCGUGAAGGAAGAAGGCCCUCGGGUUGUAAACUUCUUUUAAGAGGGACGAAAGAAAUGACGGUACCUCUUGAAUAAGCCACGGCUAACUACGUGCCAGCAGCCGCGGUAAUACGUAGGUGGCGAGCGUUAUCCGGAUUUACUGGGUGUAAAGGGCGUGUAGGCGGGAGUGCAAGUCAGAUGUGAAAAUUAUGGGCUCAACCCAUAACCUGCAUUUGAAACUGUUCUACUUGAGUGAUGGAGAGGCAGGCGGAAUUCCGUGUGUAGCGGUGAAAUGCGUAGAUAUACGGAGGAACACCAGUGGCGAAGGCGACCUGCUGGACAUUAACUGACGCUGAGGCGCGAAAGCGUGGGGAGCAAACAGGAUUAGAAACCCGGGUAGUCC
This 428-nucleotide ribosomal RNA is filed under the name uncultured bacterium. RNAcentral describes it as "partial 16S ribosomal RNA". It matches the Rfam family "Bacterial small subunit ribosomal RNA", at positions 354 to 796 of the family's 1533-position model. The record is from RNAcentral.